UAAACUAGGAUUGAUCCCUAUUAUUUAAAAUGUAAAUUAAUUGCUAAAGUAGUAAUAGUUAUGUUCUUGAAACUUAAAAAAUUUGGCGGUAUUUUAGUCUAUCCAGAGGAACCUGUUUUGUAAUCGAUAAUCCACGAUGGACCUUACUUAAGUUUGUAAUCAGUUUAUAUACCGUCGUUAUCAGAAUAUUUUAUAAGAAUAAUAAUAUUCAAUAAUUUUAAUAAAAAUUUAUAUCAGAUCAAGGUGUAGCUUAUAUUUAAGUAAUAAUGGGUUACAAUAAAAAUAUUUAUACGGAUAAAAUUAUGAAAAAAUUUUUGAAGGUGGAUUUGGUAGUAAAAUUAUAUAGAUAAAUAAUUUGAUUUUAGCUCUAAAUAUGUACACAUCGCCCGUCGCUCUUAUUAUUAAGGAAGAAAUCGAACUAUAA
RNAcentral lists this ribosomal RNA (424 nucleotides) under Drosophila bipectinata. RNAcentral describes it as "partial 12S ribosomal RNA". Lineage: Eukaryota; Metazoa; Arthropoda; Insecta; Diptera; Drosophilidae. The record is from RNAcentral.